UUUCCAAGAACCCACUUUCCCUACAAGAAAAUACUAAAGAUGGCUUUUAAUAAUAACAACCAAAUCCGAAGUAAAAUUCGCCUAGACACCCAAGUCUCCUUCCAAUUACUUUUUUGUUUUCUGGUUAUAAUCCCAUGAUGGUCACAUACUCUAAUAAGCUGGGAUGGUUUACAUGUAUGUAUAUGUGUGCAUGUGUUUGUGUGGCUAUAACUGUGUAAAUGCGUGUAAUUGCACAAGAGCAUUGACAUAAAAAAUGACUUAUAGAAGUAGAUUUAAAUUUAAAUAUUCAUUUAUGGACAUUUCAUAUAUUUGGGAUAUGGCUGGUUUAGGAUUUUAAAAUUAGAUUUUUAUCUCUUUCCUUAUUCUUCUAUCUUCCCUUUCUACAAUCAUCCAUUUAUUAACUGACCUUUUAUUGUUCGUGUAUGUGCUUAUACGUUCGUAAAGUAUUUAUAUAUGUAUUAGACAUCAAAGGCGAACGUCCCCAUAGAAGUACUUUGUGAAAACCGGGUCUCAUUCCACCAGCCAAUGGGAGAUCGUUUACAAAGACGCUUUGCCAAAAACCGAAGCUUUGAGCCAAUGAGAGAGGGCGAUAGAAACGUCGUGUAUAGUGGAGGCCUCUGAUUGGCCAAAACAAUUCAUUCCCUGACAGUAGAUGGCUCAGUGUAGUGACUAGUGACAGACAGGACGGUUUCCUUCCUAAACAAGAGCUAAAAACUGGUCUCUCUCUCUGCGGGCAAUACGGACAACUGAUAACGUCCACCUCCACUCAAGUUCUUAUUGUCCCGAUCCGCUGAAGUGAGAUUCCAAAGUCCCGUGGUGGAGUGGACUAUACGUAGCUCGGAAAAAAGGUGUUAUUAAGCUUGCUGCCAUUCUGACGUCCAAGUCCAUGAGCCAUCCUCGACCGCUAAGGUUUUAGCUUGCCAUAUUAAUGAUAAUGAAUCAGGAUGAAGUAAUAGUGUACACCCACCAACUGACUCUCUGACUGUCCUGGUGCACACCGACCAAUCAACUCUCCAACUGAAAGAAAUCAGUAACUACGGGGCAGCCUUUACUUCGUCAACCAACAGACGAUGCUCCGAGAUCUCAAACGACCGUAUGAGCUUGUUGAUCGUAAACGAGCAUAAUGCAAGCACUUUUACAAAGGUUAUUACUAUUUUAGUCAGGAAAUCAUCUGCAGAGUGCAUAUGGGACAAGUUUAUUAGACCACAGUAUGCCUCGCAAUUCAACAAGUAUCUGUGAACGAAGAACCGGACUUCAACAAAGCCUACAUUGAUAUGUAACAAGUAGAAUGUCGUACUUAACCUGUGUCAACAGUUGCCUAUGGCCAGAUGAAAUGGUCCCACCAAACAUUUGCUUACCAGUUAAACAAUAGUUUUGUGGCACAGUCUUGGCUUCUCAAAAUUCAGAAGGUUAUCAUGUCAAGUACUUCAGUACAUUUCAGGACAGAUGUUUCCAUUUCUUACCAGUUUAAGAUGACUAUGGGUUCAAUCAGUUUUAGGAUACUUACAUAGCUUUUUAAAUAUGAAGUACGGUAGUUCUGUGUGCUUCAGGAUACAUAGCUUUGCUUGAUCAGGGAUCUAGUGUCGGUGUGAUAUCAGUCAAAAGUAGCUAAGUGUGUCUGGAUACGUAGGUCAUUCAAUUUUCUUGUGAAAUAUUAACAAUGUGGCAACUUUCAGGAUAAGUGCUUUUUUUUUUUUACAUAAGAUUAAUAAUAGUUUCAAAUUAACCAUAAAAAAUCUCGAUUAGUUUUAGGAUGAUGAUUAGCCUUUAUUUUGUUUUUUUUAAAUAUAUAAUUGAAAUAUUAGUUCAAUAGUUAUGUCUUAAUUAACCCUUUCCGGUCUUGUGGCUUCUGAGAGAAGCCCACCAUCUCUCUCAUACUAGGUAUCGAGGGCUUCUGACAGAAGCCCACCCCAACACCGUGCAUAUCUUUGUAAUAACUCGAUAUAGCGUCCCCAAAAUUUAUCCAAUCCAUAGUCUGUUUUCUCUACUUGACGUGUA
Molecule: long non-coding RNA, 1998 nt
Organism: Macrobrachium nipponense
Lineage: Eukaryota; Metazoa; Arthropoda; Malacostraca; Decapoda; Palaemonidae
Exons: 4
Source: RefSeq, a predicted model, not a curated record